AACUUAAAGGAAUUGACGGGGCCCGCACAAGCGGUGGAGUAUGUGGUUUAAUUCGAUGCAACGCGAAGAACCUUACCUGGUCUUGACAUCCCGGAGACCCUUAGGAAACUAGGGGGUGCUUCCAUCUGGAAGAAUCUGGAGACAGGUGCUGCAUGGCUGUCGUCAGCUCGUGUCGUGAGAUGUUGGGUUAAGUCCCGCAACGAGCGCAACCCUUGCCUUUAGUUGCCAGCAGUUCGGCUGGGCACUCUAAAGGGACUGCCGGUGUUAAACCGGAGGAAGGUGGGGAUGACGUCAAGUCCUCAUGGCCUUUAUGACCAGGGCUACACACGUACUACAAUGGUCGGUACAAAGGGUUGCCAAGCCGCGAGGUGGAGCUAAUCCCAUAAAACCGAUCGUAGUCCGGAUCGCAGUCUGCAACUCGACUGCGUGAAGUCGGAAUCGCUAGUAAUCGUGAAUCAGAAUGUCACGGUGAAUACGUUCCCGGGCCUU
This 489-nucleotide ribosomal RNA is filed under the name uncultured Desulfobulbus sp. RNAcentral's name for it is "bacterial SSU rRNA". It matches the Rfam family "Bacterial small subunit ribosomal RNA", at positions 898 to 1382 of the family's 1533-position model. Lineage: Bacteria; Pseudomonadati; Thermodesulfobacteriota; Desulfobulbia; Desulfobulbales; Desulfobulbaceae. The record is from RNAcentral.